UACGUAGGGUGCAAGCGUUACUCGGAAUUACUGGGCGUAAAGCGCGUGUAGGCGGUCCGGUAAGUCCGCUGUGAAAGUCGGGGGCUCAACCCUCGGAUGCCGGUGGAUACUGUCGGGCUUGAGUACGGAAGAGGCGAGUGGAAUUCCUGGUGUAGCGGUGAAAUGCGCAGAUAUCAGGAGGAACACCGAUGGCGAAGGCAGCUCGCUGGGACGGUACUGACGCUGAGGCGCGAAAGCGUGGGGAGCGAACAGG
This 253-nucleotide ribosomal RNA is filed under the name uncultured bacterium. RNAcentral describes it as "partial 16S ribosomal RNA". It matches the Rfam family "Bacterial small subunit ribosomal RNA", at positions 524 to 776 of the family's 1533-position model. The record is from RNAcentral.